This 5431-nucleotide long non-coding RNA is filed under the name Prunus dulcis (almond). RNAcentral describes it as "sRNA ncRNA". Lineage: Eukaryota; Viridiplantae; Streptophyta; Magnoliopsida; Rosales; Rosaceae. The record is from RNAcentral.
AGAGACAAACAAACUCAAGUCAGGUAUGUACUUCAAAUAACCGCUGUAACUGCUUUUCUUUUAACUCAAGUCAGGUAUGUAUUUCUAAUGUAUAUUUUCUUAGUAUCAACUGGUGUUCUUUGGUUGAGCAGAAAGAUCAUUCAGCAAUUACAAAAUUUUCUUAGGGAAUUAACCUUGUUUAAGCUUUGUUUAUCAUCUCUCUCCUUUUCUCUGUUAAGUCUUGGUUCUUCUAAGUUAUGCCUUAUCCUUAUCCCCCACAUCACACAUAUUGGAAAAGAAUCUUGCCUUAAAUUGCAAAUUUGAUUUUAUUUAUUAUACUUGAUAAAUUUGAUUUUAUCGGUAUCCAAGAGCAUGCUGAUCACAACUUAUGUCUGUCUUAAGCCUUCUCAUAAACGUUUCUUCAUUUGCAGGUUUCUUUCAAGUCACUGCCCGAGGAGAGUUUACCAUUGUAUAUGGAUUUUUGUUUUUCUACAAACACAUUGCGGCAAAGAAGGGGAAGGAAAUGUUCUCCAGGUGGUGCUCUAGCAAGGAAAUGUUCUCAAUCAUAAAAUUCAUGAUUAGGUAAUCUUUCAUCAUAAAAUUCCUUUCCUUUGAGUUUCCUAACAUAACUUGCAAACGUCAUUCAUGAGUUUCCUUUGAGAUGGAUGAAAAUGUGUACAUAUGUAUGAAUAACUUGUGAGCGCUCACGUUCUAGGACAGAUGACGUUGACGAAACUCCAUGCUUGGUCUUGAACAAUACUAUGAUUUUCCUCCGGUUAGGGAAUCACAUAAUUGUUCCUUAUGCAAUGAAUAUUAAUGCUGCACACUUCAUUAAUGACUUGUUUAUUUAGAAGAAACAUUUUUUUAUUGAAAAAAAGAUAGUAAAAUACCACAGAAGUGUACAAGUACUCGUCCGCCACAGAACAGGAACAGAGCUGAUCUUAAGAGAAAUACAAAGAGCUUUAACAAAGAAAUUAUCCUUGAGCUGCCUUCCAUCCCUGAAUUGUGAUAGUAAAAUGUCAUAUUUCUUCUUCCAAUCUCUUUUUUUUUUUUUUUUUCUUGUGUUCAAUCAUUGCUUUAUAUAUAAACAUUUUAAACAUUUCCACAAGUAAAAUGAAAUUUUUUGAAGGCCUAAUUUUUGCUACUAGUUUAGUUGUAAAAGGUCUACAUUCUAUAUACAUACGUAUAAAUGAAAACAAAUAGUUUUACUUGUAAGUAGUCUUCCAUUUAUAGGGCCUUCUUUUUGACUUUGCCCUGGGCCACCAAAAUCCCAGGGCUGGCCUUGUACUUGUAACAUGGACCACUUAUCUCUUGAAGAAUUGGAAAUACAUGAUGGAUGCCAUUUCCAAUUCAAAAACUUUUCGGGCAGUUUAAGAAAGUAUUACACGACUAGAUGUUUAUAAUUCAAAUUCGAAACAAAGCACCAUUGGAUUCACAUAAAUCUACCUAAUUGCCGUGCCAUUGAUUAUUUCUAACAAGCAACUGAACCGUUGCAGAAGAUCUGAUGCUUCAUUAUAACAUUUGAUAAUUGAAUAUGCAUCUUUCAGUGUCGUCCCCUUCACCGUUUCACUUUUAAUUUUUUAGCAUAUCAAUUAGUCUCUUUCAGAUGUAUUUUCUCGUAUAUACUUGUUGUUUGGAAAUUAGUUUUCAGAAGCUACACGAGGUGGGUUAACUAGAGAAAUUAGUUUGUUCAUAUUCUAAGACAAAUCUAACGAUCCAAUUCUUAAUGUCUUGAACUUAGGAGUAUCUUGUUGAGCUGCGAUAUGAAUGAAAAUGGAAAGCAAUCGAGUUCAAAUCCUCACUGGCUUUUCAAAUCUGAUGAGGAACAAAAGUAUGAGAAAACACAUGAAGGUAAAAUUAUGUCGAUCCUUUUCUGUGCCUUCCAAUUCCGAACGAUUUGCUUGCUGCAAUUAUUCCAACUACAGUUCAUUUCAUUAUAAUUUUUUUCUUUGUUGUAUCUCUAGACUCUCUGCGUAAGAUUUCCAAUAGGAACAACCCCAAUUUGACCCAAUUUAGCAUGCAUUGUGUAUUUUGAGAUUUCAAGGUAACUGCUGCUAAUGGAAUCCCUUCUUUCACUUGUAAUUCAUAGGGAAUACCAAUUUUAAACUCUAUUUACAUUUACAACCGAAGAAAACUAAAGCGCAAUGCAUGCUCUUUUAUGGUAGAAUGACCUUAUCAUCUUCCAACGAACUCAAGAAAGAAUGAAAUCUGUAGCAGAAAACAUAGGGCUGAGAUCUCUCCAAGGUAUUGCCCCACUCUCCCACAAUCUCUGUUCCUUGUAUUUGAGAAUUCACAAGGUCCCUUGAACUCACUUCUCUUCAACAGAUACAUGUUUAUGGCUGUCUGAGUCUCCAAUUCCUGCCACAAGACUCUUUCUUUUCUGAGUAAAGGUAUGAGAAUAAUUAGAUUUAUUUUUAUGAAGCUGCAAUAAUUAGAUUUAAUUAAAGCCAGUAGAAUUAAUUUCUCCUUUGGAUUUAGGAGCAUCUUGUUGAGCUGAGGUAUGCACGGGAAGUAAAAGCACUCAAGUAAACGUCCAUAUUAAAAAGCUAUUAGAAGAAGCAGGCUUUUCAAAAUUUGAUCUGGAACAAUUGAAGGUAAGGCUUGUCUGUGUUCUUUCUCUGCGCCUUUAACUUCUGAAGGACUCUAAAAUGUUACUUGCUCAACAUGGAACAACAGCAAUAGUUCAUUAGCAUUUUCUUUUUCUGUAAAAAAGAAUCUUGCCUUGAAUUGCAAAUUAGAUUUUAUUGGUAUUAAGCUUGAUAAAUUCUGAUAAUUCUGUCACUUUGUUUCUCACCGGGCCUGGUCCUUAUCGGUAUCCAAGAGCAUGCUGAUCACAACUUAUGUCUGUCUAGUCUCAAAUGCUGAUUUAUUAGUCACUCUGCACGAUAACAUGCCUUCUCAUAAACAGUUCUCAUUUGCAGGUUUCUUUCAUGUCACAGCCCGAGGAGAGUUUACCGUUGUAUAUAGAUUUUUGUUUUUCUACAAACAAAUUGUGCAAACAAAGGGGAAGGAAAUCUUCUCCAGGUGGCGAUCUAGCAACAGACCAGCAUUUGGACAAUGUGGUGAAGACGUCAUUUAUGAUUAGGUAAUCUUUCAUCAUAAAAUUCCUUUCUGUAGGUAAUAACUUGAAAACGUCAUUUAUGAAUUUAAUUUGAGAUGGAUGAAAAUGUGUACAUACUUGUUGGUUGGAAAUUAGUUUUCAGAAGCUACAUGGGUUGGGGUUAACUAGAGAAAUUAGUUUGUUCAUAUUCUAAGAUGAAUCCAAUGAUCCAAUUCUUAAUGUCUUGAACUUGGGAGUAUCUUAUUGAGCUGAGAUAUGCAUGAAAAUGGAAAGCAAUCGAGUUGAAAUGCUCAUUGUGCAAUCGAGUUGAAAUCCUCAUUGUAUAGCUAUUAGACCUGGCUUUUCAAAAUCGGACGAGGAACAAAAACACAUGAAGGUAAAAUUCUGUUGAUCCUUUUCUGUGCCUUUCACUUCCGAACUACAGUUCCAUUUCAUUAGAAUUGUUUUCUUUGUUGUAUCUCUAGACUCUCUGCGUAAGAUUCCCAAUAGGAACUACCCCAACUUGACCCAAUUUGGCAUGCAUUGUGUAUUUUGAGAUUUCAAGGUAACUGCUGCUAAUGGAAGAAAACCAAAGCCUAUUGCAUGCUCUUUUAAGGUAGAAUGACCUUAUCAUCUUCCAACAAACUCAAGAAAUGCAUGCUCGGGUGAGUUGAAGUUGAAGAUUUCGAGAAGGAAUGAAAGCUGUAGCAGAAAACAUAGGGCUGAGAUCUCUGCUCCACUCUCUCACAAAAGAAAAGUAAGUUUUCUUUUUUAUAUUUGAAAGUUUGCACCUUUGUUUAUAUUCUUAGCACUAGAACGUUGCUUGGAACCGUCCAUCUUAAUCUUUCUGAUAAUGCUCCCAAUUUCCUAGAUUCUGAAAGAUUAGAAUUUACUAAAGGGAUACUUAACGACAGCAAUAAACUUGACAUCCUUAUUAUAUGCUUUCUAUUAGCUCUUUACCAGAGCUAUCAUUCAAGGACAGCCAGUUUGAUACUGAUUGUUGUUUCCAACAAAAGCUUUGUCUAUACACAUUAUAGCAUAUUCGUUGAAUGUUACAUACAUUCAAUGUUUCCAUACAUUUCAAGAAUUUUGCAAGCAAACGCUCAUUGAAGUUCAAUAUGAAAUCUUCUGAGGUUGUCUAAGCUAUGGGAUGAGCUGCUCAUGUUUCCAUUAUUUCCAUGUUCUGUUUUUAUAGAUUUUUAUGACCCUUCCCUUCCUUGUUACCAUGAAAUCUUCCUUGUUAUGCCUUCACUUAAGCAAAUUAGAAGACACUUUGGAGUUAGAAUUUUUUUUUCUUUGUUGUAUCUCUAGACUCUCUGCGUAAGAUUCACUUGUUAAUUCUUAGGGAAUAACAAUUUUACAUUCUAUUUAAAUUUACAACGGAAGAAAACUAAAGCGCAUUGCAUGCUCUUUUAUGGUAGAAUGACCUUAUCAUCUUCCAACAAACUCGAGAAAUGCAUGCUCUGAUGUGUUGAAGUUGAAGAUUUCGAGAAAGAAUGAAAGCUGUAGCAGAAAACAUAGGGCUCAGAUCUCUCCAAGGUAUUGCUCCACUGUCUCACAAUCUCUGUUCCUUGUAUUAUGAAGAUUACAGGAUUACUCAUUACUGACCAUCAUCACAUGAUCUUGCAGAUGAUUUUGGGGAGGUUUGCCAAUUGACCUUAGUGAAAUCAUAAAAGAAAAGUAAGUUUGCUUUUUUAUAUUUGGAAGUUGGCACCUAUGUUUAUAUUAUUUGCACUAGACCGUUGCUCGGAACCAUCCAUCUUAAUCUUUCUGAUAAUUUACAAGGUCCCUUGACGGCAGUGGAAGGGGCACAUGUUGUUUUCUGAAGGGAUACUUAACGACAGCAAUAAACUUAACAUCCUUAUUAUAUGCUUUCUAUUAGCUCUUUGAUCAGAGCUAUCUUGUCCUGCAGAUAGUUCAUUUGUGUUUGGAGGGGCGGCCUACAUCUGAUCUGACCACAUUGGAAAGCUCUCUUUGUGUUGAUGAAGAAUUCUUCUUCUCAAACAAGAUAAAACUGAUGUUAAACCAUGGGGGCCACGUCUUCGUUUGGUUUUCUUGCAAGAAACUGAUGAUAAACUGAUGUUAGUGCUCGUAUUGUUGAAGUUCAAUUUCCUCUUGUCCCACAUUGAAAGAUUAUAGCUUUGUCUGUGAUUUCUUCAAGGACAGCCAGUCUGAUACUGAUUGUUGUUUCCAACAAAAGCUUUGUCUCUACACAUUAUAGCUUAUUUGUCGAAUGUUACAUAUAUUCAAUGUUUCCAUACAUUUCAAGAAUUUUUGACAAGCAAACGGUCAUUCAUUGAAGUUCAAUAUGAAAUCUUCUGAGGUUGUCUAUGCUAUGGGAUAAGCUGCUCAUGUUAUGACCCUUCUCUUCCUUGUUCCCAUGACAAUCACAAUAUUAUGCCUCCACUUAAG